AUAGAUCAAAGUCAACAGCCCAGAGAUCUUAAGUUGAUGAGAUGGGUUUAUCUUCCUUCUUCCGCCCUCUUAUAGUCUUCAUCUUGAUAAUUUCGGUGUUAGCCAUGCAGAUGACUCCAAUCUCAUGUGCAGAUUUGAAGCUGCGCAGAUUGGGCAGCAAACCCAUGCCAAACCCACCUCCUGCUCCAGCUCGAAAUAUCCCACCUCUCUAGCCUCUGAUUGAGCUGUCACCUUCACGUUUAUCAAAUCUUAAUACUAGAUAUGUAUUGCGUUUCAAAUAAAGUAUGCAUUUGUCAGAUUACUGUGAAAGAGAGUUCUCAGCAUGAUUAUUGUACUCAGAUAUUUAACUUCUGUUAAUUAAUGAAAUGAUAUUACCUUUUA
Theobroma cacao (cacao) is the source of this 381-nucleotide non-coding RNA. NCBI's taxonomy places the organism in Eukaryota, Viridiplantae, Streptophyta, Magnoliopsida, Malvales, Malvaceae. The record is from RefSeq and is a predicted model, not a curated record.